CUGUCAGAGAAAAAUAGCCUUGGGAUACCCCACAAAUACAAAGACAGUAAGUACUGUGGGCCACUCUACAUCAGUCUCUCACCAAUGUAGUUGUUUAGUAUAGAAUAGGAACUACACUCGUAUCUGUGGUUAAUCCAUAAUGAAAAAUGUAAGUCCUGUAAAAAGGCAAAGCCAGCCCACUACAUCAGAUGUUACAAAUUUAGAAAUUAAGCACACACAUUUCUGUGACUUCAUUAUCUUCAGUCAAAUUUUCCCUUCCUUUUCAGGCAACUGAUAAGUUGGUUUCACAAUGGACUGUACCACCAUCCAGGGACAUGGUCACAUUUAAUUUCUCAAAGCUGAAGGAAAUAUGAUGAUCAGGAUAUGAAGAAGAAAACAAUAAAAAAAUCAUGUCUAGCAAGGACAGAGGUCACCUCCAAUGGAGACACUUCAGGAAUUGCUCGGGAAAGAACAUCAAGUGGUCAAACAGGAGGAGAUAUGUGGUUCAAGCUACAGAAACAGCAACAGGCUGAGCAGCCAACAUAAGGAGGUUAAGGGCGGGAAAAACAUGAGAAACUCUUUUGAGAAGCUGCAAAAGCUGACGUGGAGGAUCAAGGAUUUCAAAAGCUUUGAAUAUAAAGAGGUGAGAAUUUUUAUUUUAUUUUUUUACUAUUAUUCUGGUCUGUUGGUUGAGCUCUGAG
RNAcentral lists this long non-coding RNA (680 nucleotides) under Pan paniscus (pygmy chimpanzee). RNAcentral's name for it is "lncRNA (ENSPPAG00000044403.1)". Lineage: Eukaryota; Metazoa; Chordata; Mammalia; Primates; Hominidae. The record is from RNAcentral.